GUAUAAGGCAGGCUCCUUUUGGUAUUGGAAAGUUGGAAUAUGUGAAGUCGUCAAGUUUUAGUUUCGAGUGAACUACCUCGAAACGGUGGUAAGGAAGGGCCUUUCCAUCGAAAUGUCUGUUUUUGUUGUAUGAAAUAAAGAAAGAUAUAGUGACAUGUUUU
Helianthus annuus (common sunflower) is the source of this 161-nucleotide long non-coding RNA. RefSeq lists it as uncharacterized. The transcript has 2 exons. NCBI's taxonomy places the organism in Eukaryota, Viridiplantae, Streptophyta, Magnoliopsida, Asterales, Asteraceae. The record is from RefSeq and is a predicted model, not a curated record.